CAGGGACAAGCCCUGGAAACGGGGUCUAAUACCGGAUAACACUCCUGCCUGCAUGGGCGGGGGUUAAAAGCUCCGGCGGUGAAGGAUGAGCCCGCGGCCUAUCAGCUUGUUGGUGGGGUAAUGGCCCACCAAGGCGACGACGGGUAGCCGGCCUGAGAGGGCGACCGGCCACACUGGGACUGAGACACGGCCCAGACUCCUACGGGAGGCAGCAGUGGGGAAUAUUGCACAAUGGGCGAAAGCCUGAUGCAGCGACGCCGCGUGAGGGAUGACGGCCUUCGGGUUGUAAACCUCUUUCAGCAGGGAAGAAGCGAAAGUGACGGUACCUGCAGAAGAAGCGCCGGCUAACUACGUGCCAGCAGCCGCGGUAAUACGUAGGGCGCAAGCGUUGUCCGGAAUUAUUGGGCGUAAAGAGCUCGUAGGCGGCUUGUCACGUCGGAUGUGAAAGCCCGAGGCUUAACCUCGGGUCUGCAUUCGAUACGGGCUAGCUAGAGUGUGGUAGGGGAGAUCGGAAUUCCUGGUGUAGCGGUGAAAUGCGCAGAUAUCAGGAGGAACACCGGUGGCGAAGGCGGAUCUCUGGGCCAUUACUGACGCUGAGGAGCGAAAGCGUGGGGAGCGAACAGGAUUAGAUACCCUGGUAGUCCACGCCGUAAACGUUGGGAACUAGGUGUUGGCGACAUUCCACGUCGUCGGUGCCGCAGCUAACGCAUUAAGUUCCCCGCCUGG
This 726-nucleotide ribosomal RNA is filed under the name Streptomyces sp. RNAcentral's name for it is "bacterial SSU rRNA". It matches the Rfam family "Bacterial small subunit ribosomal RNA", at positions 138 to 876 of the family's 1533-position model. Lineage: Bacteria; Bacillati; Actinomycetota; Actinomycetes; Kitasatosporales; Streptomycetaceae. The record is from RNAcentral.